ACAUGGCGGGUCCUCACACAAUUCCCCGAUAUUUAUUGGAGACUUCGCACGUACCAUGCCAAUUAUUUCGGGCUGCUUAAGCGCCUUUUUUGAAGUCCUUGGGCAGUGCAAGAUGAAAAGAGGAAGUGAAGUAAUACUUGGCCUAUUCCCCGAUAUUCAUUAAAGACUUCGCAUGUAUCCUUCCUAUUAUUUCGAGUCGUUUAGAGUUGGACAUGAAACUCCUAAUUCAAAUCAAAAUGUACAAUGAUUUCAUGGCUUACGUGUUUGUCCAAUGAACGGGUAAACAGCUAUAUACAAAAGCAAGUCGCCAAUCCAGCACGUCAGACGUGUAGAAAUUGAAGCUUCCCUAAAAGUUUCUGUUGCACCAACUCAUGAGGCAUGGGAAGAACAUGCUAUGGAUUUUCUUAGAAAAAGAAGAGGCUGCUUCUUUUGUUGACCAGUCUGUACUUUAGUUCAAUUGUAAUCUUUAAUUAUUAAUUUCGUUUCUAUUAAUGUAAUGUUCCCAAAGGAAAUACUCACGAGGAAAUAGCUUCUUUUGGUGAAUUAGAUUAAGUUCUUGGUGCCUGGUGUGUUAGAGAACGCCAACAUGCAUCUCCUUUUAGUUCUCUGUUGUUGUAGUCCAUUCCAGCAACUAUUGUUAUGCAGCUAUGUGGAGUAUUCGUGUGUUCUAUGAACAUUAUUGACAGGAGAUUUUUGGUGCUUGCCUAAUUUGAAUCUAUAACUUUUUGAAAGCUACAUAUGCAGAGCGGGAGGUGACCUUUUGAAAAGAGAAGACAGGCAAGUGCAUGCUCAACAUUGUUAAGGUCUGUAGCGGUUCUGCCCUUUCGACAGAGAUUGUGAUUGCACUGUUGGGAUCAGUAACUAAUGCGCCGAGAGCUCCUCUUCUUCUGCUCGCUCUUUGGAGAUCAGACGCACUGAAACCUAGCUCAAAAAAUUCUAGUGUAGAUAAACAAUUUCAGGAUAAACGUCAACUCGCUCAUCCCUUUGGAAGCAUCUGGAGCAGGGACUGGUGUCUUCAUUUGGGUGAUUCAUCAAGAUCUUGAGGCACGUAGCAAAUACUUAGGUGAUCCUGGUAUCCUCCUACACAAAACUUUAAUAAGCCACGAACAAAUUCCAUCUCCUCGACAACUUGGUGAUGGAGGUUAUGAAACUGUUUACUAUGCUUUGCAUGGUGUUGAGGGGGAUCUACGAGGUUUCUGCAAUGAUGUCUUGAAGGCUUUCAAUAGCACUUGCACACAAGUCUCAUGUGACAUUAUUAUCUCCAUCAACUGAACAAAGUCUGCUACCUCCGAAUCUUUGUUCAAAGGUUAGGCCGCCUUAAGGGUGACUGGAUUUCCCAUUGGAGUGAGAACCAAUAAGGCAGGAGUCGGCGUAUUGCAUUUGAGUAUAGAUAAGAAGGGUCUUAGAAGGAAAGAUGAACAAUCAGUUUAAGUUCAUACUUUGUUGUCUUCACAUUAUUUCAUCUUAGCUUUCUGGCCUUACAAAGAGUAUCUUUUGUUUUAUGAAACUUAUCAGAUUUGCUCUUCAUCGUAUCAACAUUGUUUUAAAAGAGUAUAAUGUUGAAACUAAACAAGUAUAAGCUAUAUUUCCAGGUUUGAUUUAUAAGUAUUGCAAUGGUUUCUUUCUUAUCAGGGAGUAUUAGCACAUCUGAAACUUGAAAUUGGAGGUGGAUUUGAAAGAGUAAAGCACCUUCAACAACUAUUAGAGUGGAUUGCAGUUACUAACUCAAGCAAGCCUUAGCAUGGUGGUGAACCAUGCUGAAAGUUUAUGCUUAAGAUGCUACAUGUAGGCUGAAAGUUUAUGCUUAAGAUGCUACAUGUAGGCAGCAAGCUGAAGAAGUCAUUGUGAAAUAAUUGAAUUUGUGUUAGCUA
Molecule: RNA transcript, 1871 nt
Organism: Lycium barbarum (goji berry)
Lineage: Eukaryota; Viridiplantae; Streptophyta; Magnoliopsida; Solanales; Solanaceae
Exons: 4
Source: RefSeq, a predicted model, not a curated record